GGUUAAGCGACUAAGCGUACACGGUGGAUGCCCUGGCAGUCAGAGGCGAUGAAGGACGUGCUAAUCUGCGAUAAGCGUCGGUGAGGUGAUAUGAACCGUUAUAACCGGCGAUUUCCGAAUGGGGAAACCCAGUGUGUUUCGACACACUAUCAUUAACUGAAUCCAUAGGUUAAUGAGGCGAACCGGGGGAACUGAAACAUCUAAGUACCCCGAGGAAAAGAAAUCAACCGAGAUUCCCCCAGUAGCGGCGAGCGAACGGGGAGGAGCCCAGAGCCUGAAUCAGUGUGUGUGUUAGUGGAAGCGUCUGGAAAGGCGUGCGAUACAGGGUGACAGCCCCGUACACAAAAAUGCACAUAUUGUGAGCUCGAUGAGUAGGGCGGGACACGUGGUAUCCUGUCUGAAUAUGGGGGGACCAUCCUCCAAGGCUAAAUACUCCUGACUGACCGAUAGUGAACCAGUACCGUGAGGGAAAGGCGAAAAGAACCCCGGCGAGGGGAGUGAAAAAGAACCUGAAACCGUGUACGUACAAGCAGUGGGAGCCUCUUAAUGGGGUGACUGCGUACCUUUUGUAUAAUGGGUCAGCGACUUAUAUUCUGUAGCAAGGUUAACCGAAUAGGGGAGCCGAAGGGAAACCGAGUCUUAACUGGGCGUUAAGUUGCAGGGUAUAGACCCGAAACCCGGUGAUCUAGCCAUGGGCAGGUUGAAGGUUGGGUAACACUAACUGGAGGACCGAACCGACUAAUGUUGAAAAAUUAGCGGAUGACUUGUGGCUGGGGGUGAAAGGCCAAUCAAACCGGGAGAUAGCUGGUUCUCCCCGAAAGCUAUUUAGGUAGCGCCUCGUGAAUUCAUCUCCGGGGGUAGAGCACUGUUUCGGCAAGGGGGUCAUCCCGACUUACCAACCCGAUGCAAACUGCGAAUACCGGAGAAUGUUAUCACGGGAGACACACGGCGGGUGCUAACGUCCGUCGUGAAGAGGGAAACAACCCAGACCGCCAGCUAAGGUCCCAAAGUCAUGGUUAAGUGGGAAACGAUGUGGGAAGGCCCAGACAGCCAGGAUGUUGGCUUAGAAGCAGCCAUCAUUUAAAGAAAGCGUAAUAGCUCACUGGUCGAGUCGGCCUGCGCGGAAGAUGUAACGGGGCUAAACCAUGCACCGAAGCUGCGGCAGCGACACUAUGUGUUGUUGGGUAGGGGAGCGUUCUGUAAGCCUGUGAAGGUGGCCUGUGAGGGGUGCUGGAGGUAUCAGAAGUGCGAAUGCUGACAUAAGUAACGAUAAAGCGGGUGAAAAGCCCGCUCGCCGGAAGACCAAGGGUUCCUGUCCAACGUUAAUCGGGGCAGGGUGAGUCGACUCCUAAGGCGAGGCCGAAAGGCGUAGUCGAUGGGAAACAGGUUAAUAUUCCUGUACUUGGUGUUACUGCGAAGGGGGGACGGAGAAGGCUAUGUUGGCCGGGCGACGGUUGUCCCGGUUUAAGCGUGUAGGCUGGUUUUCCAGGCAAAUCCGGAAAACCAAGGCUGAGGCGUGAUGACGAGGCACUACGGUGCUGAAGUGACAAAUGCCCUGCUUCCAGGAAAAGCCUCUAAGCAUCAGGUAACAUCAAAUCGUACCCCAAACCGACACAGGUGGUCAGGUAGAGAAUACCAAGGCGCUUGAGAGAACUCGGGUGAAGGAACUAGGCAAAAUGGUGCCGUAACUUCGGGAGAAGGCACGCUGAUAUGUAGGUGAAGCGACUUGCUCGUGGAGCUGAAAUCAGUCGAAGAUACCAGCUGGCUGCAACUGUUUAUUAAAAACACAGCACUGUGCAAACACGAAAGUGGACGUAUACGGUGUGACGCCUGCCCGGUGCCGGAAGGUUAAUUGAUGGGGUUAGCGGUAACGCGAAGCUCUUGAUCGAAGCCCCGGUAAACGGCGGCCGUAACUAUAACGGUCCUAAGGUAGCGAAAUUCCUUGUCGGGUAAGUUCCGACCUGCACGAAUGGCGUAAUGAUGGCCAGGCUGUCUCCACCCGAGACUCAGUGAAAUUGAACUCGCUGUGAAGAUGCAGUGUACCCGCGGCAAGACGGAAAGACCCCGUGAACCUUUACUAUAGCUUGACACUGAACAUUGAGCCUUGAUGUGUAGGAUAGGUGGGAGGCUUUGAAGUGUGGACGCCAGUCUGCAUGGAGCCGACCUUGAAAUACCACCCUUUAAUGUUUGAUGUUCUAACGUUGGCCCGUAAUCCGGGUUGCGGACAGUGUCUGGUGGGUAGUUUGACUGGGGCGGUCUCCUCCUAAAGAGUAACGGAGGAGCACGAAGGUUGGCUAAUCCUGGUCGGACAUCAGGAGGUUAGUGCAAUGGCAUAAGCCAGCUUGACUGCGAGCGUGACGGCGCGAGCAGGUGCGAAAGCAGGUCAUAGUGAUCCGGUGGUUCUGAAUGGAAGGGCCAUCGCUCAACGGAUAAAAGGUACUCCGGGGAUAACAGGCUGAUACCGCCCAAGAGUUCAUAUCGACGGCGGUGUUUGGCACCUCGAUGUCGGCUCAUCACAUCCUGGGGCUGAAGUAGGUCCCAAGGGUAUGGCUGUUCGCCAUUUAAAGUGGUACGCGAGCUGGGUUUAGAACGUCGUGAGACAGUUCGGUCCCUAUCUGCCGUGGGCGCUGGAGAACUGAGGGGGGCUGCUCCUAGUACGAGAGGACCGGAGUGGACGCAUCACUGGUGUUCGGGUUGUCAUGCCAAUGGCACUGCCCGGUAGCUAAAUGCGGAAGAGAUAAGUGCUGAAAGCAUCUAAGCACGAAACUUGC
RNAcentral lists this ribosomal RNA (2771 nucleotides) under Escherichia coli. Its description in RNAcentral is "partial 23S ribosomal RNA". It matches the Rfam family "Bacterial large subunit ribosomal RNA". Lineage: Bacteria; Pseudomonadati; Pseudomonadota; Gammaproteobacteria; Enterobacterales; Enterobacteriaceae. The record is from RNAcentral.